This 170-nucleotide ribosomal RNA is filed under the name Cyclichthys spilostylus (spotbase burrfish). RNAcentral describes it as "partial 12S ribosomal RNA". The record is from RNAcentral. Lineage: Eukaryota; Metazoa; Chordata; Actinopteri; Tetraodontiformes; Diodontidae.
CACCGCGGUUAUACGAGAGACCCAAGUUGUUAGGCACCGGCGUAAAGGGUGGUUAAGGCAAACAUCCAAACUAAAGCCGAACAUCUUCCAAGCCGUCAUACGCACACGAAGACAAGAAGCCCAAUAACGAAAGUGGCUCUAACCUGCCUGAACCCACGAAAGCUAUGACA